GAGGAAUAUUGGUCAAUGGGCGCGAGCCUGAACCAGCCAAGUAGCGUGCAGGAUGACGGCCCUAUGGGUUGUAAACUGCUUUUGUAUGGGGAUAAAGUCAAUCACGUGUGAUUGUUUGCAGGUACCAUACGAAUAAGGACCGGCUAAUUCCGUGCCAGCAGCCGCGGUAAUACGGAAGGUCCGGGCGUUAUCCGGAUUUAUUGGGUUUAAAGGGAGCGUAGGCCGGAGAUUAAGUGUGUUGUGAAAUGUAGACGCUCAACGUCUGACUUGCAGCGCAUACUGGUUUUCUUGAGUACGCACAACGUUGGCGGAAUUCGUCGUGUAGCGGUGAAAUGCUUAGAUAUGACGAAGAACUCCGAUUGCGAAGGCAGCUGACGGGAGCGCAACUGACGCUUAAGCUCGAAGGUACGGGUAUCGAACAGGAUUAGAUACCCUGGUAGUCCGCACAGUAAACGAUGGAUGCCCGCUGUUGGUACCUGGUAUCAGCGGCUAAGCGAAAGCAUUAAGCAUCCCACCUGGGGAGUACGCCGGCAACGGUG
Molecule: ribosomal RNA, 539 nt
Filed under: uncultured bacterium
Lineage: Bacteria
Description: bacterial SSU rRNA
Rfam family: Bacterial small subunit ribosomal RNA
Source: RNAcentral